CCAAUCCUCUUCCUCUUCUAAUUAUUAAGUAUUGUUUUCUUAGAUUUUUUUCUCGACAUAAAAAUUUAGUGUCAACCAAUUUAAAACAUAAUACUAAAUUAAAAUAACAAAAAUACAUAUAUUUUAGUUUUUUAAAAAUAAUUUAAAUUACAAAACUCGGUUUCUAGGCAUGUCUUGUGUAGCAUUGGGCCACUUCGAUGAGUCACAAGGCCCAAAAACGGCCCGAAGUGGCCCAUCAAAAUUCAACUUUAGAUUAGGGUUUUGUUCAUGUGUAUAUAAAUCCGAAGCCGUAGCAUCCAGAACGUAGUCGAUCCUGUCACUCGCCCCGUUUGCAGGACCAGUGUUGUUUUUUGGCCGAUCGGUUAGCAGCUCUUCAACAUGAGGGCUAAGUGGAAGAAGAAGAGAAUGAGGAGAUUGAAGAGGAAGCGCCGAAAGAUGAGGCAAAGAUCCAAGUAGUUCGUGUCUGUUUUAAAUAAAAAGAGAAUCGUUCUUUUAGUCGUUACUGAUCUAGGACGAGUAAUAGUUGAAUUCUUGUGUUUCUGUUGGAUUUUUAUCGAGUUUUUUUUAGUUUCAAUGUGCAAUUUUGUUCGACUUAUUCACUCUGAGAUCUACAUUAUUGAAUUCACUGUCUGGAGUUUUUUAAACGUCGGUUGAUGAUAUGUUUGUUUAA
Long non-coding RNA from Cucurbita moschata (crookneck pumpkin), 670 nucleotides. RefSeq lists it as uncharacterized. NCBI's taxonomy places the organism in Eukaryota, Viridiplantae, Streptophyta, Magnoliopsida, Cucurbitales, Cucurbitaceae. The record is from RefSeq and is a predicted model, not a curated record. The transcript is spliced from 2 exons.